GAUCCUGUGGCUCAGUGGUAGAGCACUGCCUCCCCAGUCAGGAGGUUACUGGUUCAAGACCGGUCAGGAGCU
Astyanax mexicanus (Mexican tetra) is the source of this 72-nucleotide transfer RNA. It matches the Rfam family "tRNA". Rfam says of the family: Transfer RNA (tRNA) molecules are approximately 80 nucleotides in length. Their secondary structure includes four short double-helical elements and three loops (D, anti-codon, and T loops). Further hydrogen bonds mediate the characteristic L-shaped molecular structure. tRNAs have two regions of fundamental functional importance: the anti-codon, which is responsible for specific mRNA codon recognition, and the 3' end, to which the tRNAs corresponding amino acid is attached (by aminoacyl-tRNA synthetases). tRNAs cope with the degeneracy of the genetic code in two manners: having more than one tRNA (with a specific anti-codon) for a particular amino acid; and 'wobble' base-pairing, i.e. permitting non-standard base-pairing at the 3rd anti-codon position. The record is from Rfam. Lineage: Eukaryota; Metazoa; Chordata; Actinopteri; Characiformes; Acestrorhamphidae.